AGUGAACGCUGGCGGUAGGCCUAACACAUGCAAGUCGAACGGCAGCACAGUAAGAGCUUGCUCUUACGGGUGGCGAGUGGCGGACGGGUGAGGAAUACAUCGGAAUCUACUUUUUCGUGGGUGAUAACGUAGGGAAACUUACGCUAAUACCGCAUACUACCUACGGGUGAAAGCAGUGGAUCUUCGGACCUUUCGCGAUUGAAUGAGCCGAUGUCGGAUUAGCUAGUUGGCGGGGUAAAGGCCCACCAAGGCGACGAUCCGUAGCUGAUCUGAGAGGAUGAUCAGCCACACUGGAACUGAGACACGGUCCAGACUCCUACGGGAGGCAGCAGUGGGGAAUAUUGGACAAUGGGCGCAAGCCUGAUCCAGCCAUACCGCGUGGGUGAAGAAGGCCUUCGGGUUGUAAAGCCCUUUUGUUGGGAAAGAAAAGCAGCAGGUUAAUACCCCGCUGUUCUGACGGUACCCAAAGAAUAAGCACCGGCUAACUUCGUG
This 492-nucleotide ribosomal RNA is filed under the name uncultured bacterium. RNAcentral describes it as "partial 16S ribosomal RNA". It matches the Rfam family "Bacterial small subunit ribosomal RNA", at positions 29 to 507 of the family's 1533-position model. The record is from RNAcentral.